This 768-nucleotide long non-coding RNA is filed under the name Equus caballus (horse). RNAcentral describes it as "lncRNA (ENSECAG00000045386.1)". Lineage: Eukaryota; Metazoa; Chordata; Mammalia; Perissodactyla; Equidae. The record is from RNAcentral.
GGAGAUAUCUACUGCCUGAGCCAAGCGGUAGAGGGUAGGAAGAAUAGUGUGUGGUAUGAGUGUACAGUUGGGCAAGAUAAUUUUUAAGUACAUCUUAAAGGCACAUAAGUAGGAUUUCAAUAGACUUGCCUAGAGGGAUUCUAGAUGAAGGAAAGAGCAUAAGCAAAGACAGAAAUGGGAAGGGCCUGACCUUGGACUUCUAGAGGGCUAACUUGGAGAUGGGAAGGAGGAGUUGGUGCUGGAAGCUUGAGAAAGAAUCUAAAGGGAAUUGACUCCAGCUAUAUUGCUACUGUGGGUGUGGAAAGCAUCUGCUCAAACAUGACCAUCUGCUUGGAAAAUUCAUUUAAAGUAAAGGUCUUCCAUACAUCUAAUGGCUUCUUUCCAAGGGAGCUGUCUUCCAAGCAACGACCUAGAGAUCCAGGGUGCUUCCACUUUUGUGCUCCGUCAUCUCAGCACAAUGCUGCCAGGUCACUGUAGCAGGAAAAGAAAGGGAUGGAUUUUCAUGCAGUGACUUCUUACUGCCUUGGGCAGGAAAUGACUCAGGUGAAGAAACAGAAGCAUGGAGAUUGAGUGACUUGACCAGUCAGAGUUAGAGAAGAGAUUGGAAUUCAGACCCAGGUCUCCCAUAGUCACCUGCCAGAAAUCAUUCUUCAUUCCAUGGAAAAUGGAGAAUUGGUGAUUUGCAAUUCUGUUAAGAACGAUUGGGAAAUCACGCACUUCCAAAGUCAUUGGAAGCCUCUGAAUUACCAUCCUUAAGGAAUAAAUCUU